Molecule: long non-coding RNA, 266 nt
Filed under: Phoenix dactylifera (date palm)
Lineage: Eukaryota; Viridiplantae; Streptophyta; Magnoliopsida; Arecales; Arecaceae
Description: long non-coding RNA (PDAC_LNC014332)
Source: RNAcentral
UUUCUGGUCUCCCACUGUUUUGCUUUAUCUACAAGCUUGGACAAAGUGGAGACCUCUACUGCCAACACCGCAUUAUAAAGCGGGGAAAUCAGACCCCGUCUGAAUCUUUCUAUCCUGGCAGCUUCAGUGAGGAUGAUGUAAGGAGCAUACCUCCCCAAUCUAGUGAACUCACGAGCGUGCUCAGCUACACUCAUUUUGGGCAUCUGCUUCAGCCUCUCAAACUGAAGAGCCCGAUUCUGCCUCUCCGCCGGAGAUAGGAACUCAUC